Molecule: unclassified non-coding RNA, 240 nt
Filed under: soil metagenome
Description: partial contains 5.8S ribosomal RNA, internal transcribed spacer 2, and large subunit ribosomal RNA
Source: RNAcentral
AACCAUAGAAACCUGCGGAGUACCUGCGGAAGGAUCAUUAAAAAGAGUGUGUACCCCUCUGUAAAAUGAGUGGGUUACCUCCCGUCCUUUGUUGACCUCUUAGGAGGUUAUUUUGAACUUUCUGCUUCGGUGGGGUUAAACCUACCGGAACACCCUCAAAUUCUUAUCAUUUAAAAAUUGUUCAGUCUGAUUUUUGUUAAUAAAAACAAAAAACUUUUAACAACGGAUCUCAGAUCGGAA